Molecule: long non-coding RNA, 426 nt
Organism: Anas platyrhynchos (mallard)
Lineage: Eukaryota; Metazoa; Chordata; Aves; Anseriformes; Anatidae
Source: RefSeq, a predicted model, not a curated record
UCUAGCACAUUUGGCUUUUCCCCUUCUCUAAUUGCACUCUGCGUCAGACCUCAGGGCUGGCCCUGCCCAUUUGCUCACUUGUCUCUUUGCCCAACAGCAAGCCUUCUUCAGGACUGGAAAGCUUUCACUCCCAUCCUAGCAAGCACAGAGUCUCGCAAUACUAAAAUUAGAGGAAACACUGUCCUAAACAUCAGUGAGACUAGAGAUGAAUCCCCAGCAAGCAGGAUGUAGUGGAUUUCAGCAGAGGAGGCAUUACAGUACAGGAUGUACCUAAGGAUACUCUGGGAGAAACGGAGACAGCCACGCUCCUGGUCGUUCAGUGACCCAGACGGAGACCUGGCCAAGAAGUUUCACAGAACUUCACUCGUACAAAAGCAGUAGAAAUGGGACGCCCAUGAUGGGGACCUGCUUCAAAUAUGCUUUUUA